Molecule: ribosomal RNA, 140 nt
Filed under: Vibrio splendidus
Lineage: Bacteria; Pseudomonadati; Pseudomonadota; Gammaproteobacteria; Vibrionales; Vibrionaceae
Description: partial 16S ribosomal RNA
Rfam family: Bacterial small subunit ribosomal RNA
Source: RNAcentral
CUUAAAUUGAAGAGUUUGAUCAUGGCUCAGAUUGAACGCUGGCGGCAGGCCUAACACAUGCAAGUCGAGCGGAAACGACACUAACAAUCCUUCGGGUGCGUUAAUGGGCGUCGAGCGGCGGACGGGUGAGUAAUGCCUAG